This is a long non-coding RNA of Etheostoma cragini (Arkansas darter), 866 nucleotides long. RefSeq lists it as uncharacterized. Lineage: Eukaryota; Metazoa; Chordata; Actinopteri; Perciformes; Percidae. The transcript is spliced from 3 exons. The record is from RefSeq and is a predicted model, not a curated record.
AACAAAAGUUGAAGAACUCCCAAUAAUGGCAGCCAAGGACGUGAUAGUAAGACCGACGGAGCAAUACAAAUUUUCUCUCUAGUGUCAGCUUGGCGUCGGCCGUGGCAUGUCAUCACACCGAAGCGUCAUCCUUAAACAGCACAGUUUCUAUCACAGUGUGCCAAGCAACAGUGAUGGCUUCAGGGAGGGAAGUCAACUUUGCUGUCCCUAGCACAUUCUUCACGAUUGUCAAGGUGCUGUCAGACCAGAGGAGCCAAGCAAGCGCAAGUGAGCAGAGUUGAUGGCCUUUUCUCUGCCGUUAACGCGGCUUGUCUGCCAACAUUACCGUGCAUAUGGUCAGUGUGUUCCCAUGUGGCCGGUCAGUGCAAAAAACAUGUAGCACUUAAAGCUGCCAUCUUUGCCUACGCAGACAAGCUGGAGAAGCACACACAUACAGUAUAUGUAAACUGUCUCCUCUUUGUCCGUCUGCCCUGCAUCCCAUGAUUCCAGUUGACAGCAGCAGACGUGUCACAGCUGGCUCUGAGACCAAACUUGAACAAAGGCAGGUUAUGCCAAGUAGGUCACACGUCUUUUUAAAAGCUUCAAUCCCCUUUUUCCCCCACAGGAUCUUAAGAAUUCUGUCUGUUUAAUUUCUUGUGUCAUUUGGUUUUGUGGCCCAUAUACGUAUAAUAUAUAAGAUAUACACACCUCGUAUACGAAAUCAAACUCUGCAUUUCCAAUGAAAUCUGGAGAGAAGAAAAAUGUUAUCACAGUGCUAAGACUCAGGGUGGUCUAAACAUUUUUACGCAUGUAUGAUUAUAAUUUUCUUUUUUUUAUGAAUUAGUUAUUAAUGGUGCCAUGCCCACAAACUGGCCAGCACACAUGGG